GUUUCUUCACUUUUGUUCCUGUAAUUACACAUGAAAAAUUAAAUGUAGAUAUAAUAAUAUAUCACAGGUUGUUUAUGGAAUAACCUUUUACACAAAGGUAUAAUGUUACGUGGUUAGAGGCGGGUAGCCUAGUGGUCAGAGUCAGGGUAGCCUAGUGGUUAGAGUCAGGGUAGCCUAGUGGUUAGAGGCAGGGUAGCCUAGUGGUUAGAGGCAGGGUAGCCUAGUGGUUAGAGGCAGGGUGACCUAGUGGUUAGAGACAGGGUAGCCUAGUGGUUAGAGGCAGGGUAGCCUAGUGGUUAGAGACAGGGUAGCCUAGUGGUUAGAGACAGGGUAGCCUAGUGGUUAGAGACAGGGUAGCCUAGUGGUUAGAGACAGGGUAGCCUAGUGGUUAGAGACAGGGUAGCCUAGUGGUUAGAGACAGGGUAGCCUAGUGGUUAGAGACAGGGUAGCCUAGUGGUUAGAGGCAGGGUAGCCUAGUGGUUAGAGACAGGGUAGCCUAGUGGUUAGAGGCAGGGUAGCCUAGUGGUUAGAGGCAGGUAGCCUAGUGGUUAGAGGCAGGUAGCCUAGUGGUUAGAGGCAGGGUAGCCUAGUGGUUAGAGACAGGGUAGCCUAGUGGUUAGAGGCAGGUAGCCUAGUGGUUAGAGACAGGGUAGCCUAGUGGUUAGAGGCAGGGUAGCCUAGUGGUUAGAGGCAGGUAGCCUAGUGGUUAGAGGCAGGUAGCCUAGUGGUUAGAGGCAGGUAGCCUAGUGGUUAGAGGCAGGGUAGCCUAGUGGUUAGAGACAGGGUAGCCUAGUGGUUAGAGGCAGGUAGCCUAGUGGUUAGAGGCAGGGUAGCCUAGUGGUUAGAGGCAGGGUAGCCUAGUGGUUAGAGGCAGGGUAGCCUAGUGGUUAGAGGCAGGGUAGCCUAGUGGUUAGAGGCAGGGUAGCCUAGUGGUUAGAGACAGGGUAGCCUAGUGGUUAGAGACAGUACUAGAUUGGAGUCUUGUCAGGUAGGGGAAGGUUUAGUACUAGAUUGGAGGCUUGUCAGGUGGGGGAAGGUUUAGUACUAGAUUGGAGGCUUGUCAGGUGGGGGAAGGUUUAGUACUAGAUUGGAGGGCUUGUCAGGUAGGGGAAGGUUUAGUACUAGAUUGGAGGCUUGUCAGGUGGGGGAAGGUUUAGUACUAGAUUGGAGGCUUGUCAGGUAGGGGAAGGUUUAGUACUAGAUUGGAGGCUUGUCAGGUAGGGGAAGGUUUAGUACUAGAUUGGAGGGCUUGUCAGGUAGGGGAAGGUUUAGUACUAGAUUGGAGGCUUGUCAGGUAGGGGAAGGUUUAGUACUAGAUUGGAGGGCUUGUCAGGUAGGGGAAGGUUUAACUACCAAAACAGGAUUAAAGGAACUAGAAUCACAGCAAACCAAAUACAUGAUAACCCAUAAAUCAAAACUUGGGUUUAAUAUCGUUCAAAACGUCUCUUCAGCACUCCAAUGGCAUUAACAACAGCCGUAAAUGUUUCAAACUUCAGUUAGUCGUCUUGCCUGGGUUGAGACUUGAGAAAGGAGCAGUGUUUUAGUGUCAUCUUGUGACCCAAAUGGCUCCCCAUGGGCCCUGGUUUAUAGUUGUGCACUAGAAACGGGAAUAGGUUACCAUAGUGACUUGGGGGCUGGGGGGCAAGUUGUCACCAGGGGCAAUAGAUAUGGACGGGGCUAGACGAGAGAACAGGUUGAGACAUGUUUCCUGGAGAUUUAAAUGAAAAGUCGUCUCCCUGGCAACCACUACCCACUCGCUCUCUUGUCGACGGAGUCAACAACAAACCUCUC
Oncorhynchus keta (chum salmon) is the source of this 1791-nucleotide long non-coding RNA. RefSeq lists it as uncharacterized. Lineage: Eukaryota; Metazoa; Chordata; Actinopteri; Salmoniformes; Salmonidae. The transcript is spliced from 3 exons. The record is from RefSeq and is a predicted model, not a curated record.